Rosa rugosa (rugosa rose) is the source of this 2066-nucleotide long non-coding RNA. RefSeq lists it as uncharacterized. NCBI's taxonomy places the organism in Eukaryota, Viridiplantae, Streptophyta, Magnoliopsida, Rosales, Rosaceae. The record is from RefSeq and is a predicted model, not a curated record. The transcript has 6 exons.
UGCCCGCCCAUUUUUUGACCAAAAUUUAAACUCCUGGCUUUUCACAAAACUAAUCGUUUUAUUUUGGGAAAGAAAAAAUAGAUGUUCAGACUCAACCUCUCUCUCUUCUCUCGGAGGCCCAGCUCCCCAACGCUCUCUCUCUCUCUCUCUCAUACACACAUAAACGCCAGACCUUCAAGAAACCACCCAUUUAUUGAUGGUGAACAAGAAACCGCAAAGAACGAAAAGCACCGCAACCUCAAGAAAGAGCUCCAUCAAUCCACAGAGCCUGAUCCUCUUGCUCCUCAGAUGCUCCCUCACAACCUCCGUUUUCAGAUCUCCGAUCUCUCUCCUUAGCGGCUUCUCCAUCUCCUGAAUCACAAAACCAUCAACUCCGGUCAUCAAUUACAGAAACAGAUCGAAAAUCAAUUUUUAUGGUUUUUCUAGCUGCUGAGCUUGAACUUCUUCACAGGCCUUUACUCAGAUGGGUGUAUUUGGUAAAUUACAACCGACAAUAAAUCCAUGUCGUCCUCAGCCCUCAAGUCCAAGAAGGGAAAGACACGUUAUAUAUCUUCCUCUCAACGUCAGUUCGAUCUCUCUCUCUUUUCUUGUUUGUUAAUAGUAUCUGAAUUGUGUGUGGGUCAGAGGUCGGUGAAGAAGAAAGGGCUGUAUUCUUUACCCCCGGUCGUGGCAGGCUUCUUUAUCACUUGUGAUCGUGCUGCUGCUUUAUAUGCAAAAGUAUCCAAUUUCUCUCUUAAUGUCUAUGGUCUGAAUUUCUCGGAUUAAAGCUCACAUAUUGGAUUGUAGAGAAAGAGAGUUUAGGGGUGUAUUGGGAUGGCUUUUCGUGGAGAUGCAAAGCUGGGUUUUGGAUGGUAAAUUACCUAUUUGCGUUUUUGGAUGGUAAAAAAGCUGGGUAUCUCUUUCAUGAACUGCAGAGGCUGCACUGAAGGAAUUGAGGAAUAGACCAAAUCAAAGUAUUGCUUGACCAACAAGAGAGGUUGUAUGAAAGACAAGCUGAACUACAAGUUCUACUGGAAGCUUCCAAAGGUCCUGGACCCCCUGUUAAUGGGGCUUCAACAGCCACAAAAGGCUGGUCUGGAUCAUCGCGAGUGCUUGACCUAGAAGAGAUUCUCGAGUGAUGCGGCCGGGACGAUGAUUCCGAAUCACCUACUGCAGAUUCUCAUGAUUUACUUAACGACAGCGCAGUAUUUCUUCGGAGUAGAGUUGAAAGGGUAGUAUCUGAUUGCUCUGACGUUGGUCUGUUAGGGGAUCAAGAUUUUGGUAAGUUCACUACAAGCAGAUUAGUUUUUGCUUUACUGGACAGAUGUGGGUUUGUGACAUUUGGUGCUUUUACUUGCUGCUUAAUGUGAUUGGUUCAAUUUUUAGAAGCAUAUAUGGGACGUUUUGAGCAGGAGCUUAGCUCCAUGGAGGCCGAGAAUGCUAAGGUUUCCAAUGAAAUUUGAGGGUCUAGUUCGAACCCAUGAGGAAGAUGAGGGUACUAUCUUGGUCUGGCAUGCUACUGCACAUUGACUUGUAAAUGACACAUAAUGGGAUAAUGUUUUUGUUUCUUAUGAGUUCUGUUUAGGUAGGGUUAGUUUUGAUUAUGUUCUAUCUUUUAUCUAUCGUUAACUAAUCAUACUAUUAUAGGUGUAUUAUAUUCUUUUCCGAUGAUCUAUUGGCUUGCUUUGAGGAGGAAAAGGUAGCAUCAGAAGUUCUCUUAGCUGCACCCUGGUAAAAAGUACUGUUUGAUUACACAGAUCCUACGCCAAAAUGAAUGCUUUUUUGCCUCAAGGGACAUGUGUGAAGUGAUGGCAAAAAUCAUGGAAGUCUAGGUUGCUAGAGCUAUUGUUAGCAUGAUUGGUCAGUUUGGUAUUGAGUUCUACUCUGCAUAUCUUGUUGCUGAGAAGGAAGAGGAAGGAACUGUAUAGAGGAAGUUGAUGGAGAGAAGGAAAUGGACAAGUACAAUAUGUUUCUGGCCUUGAUGUUUUUGGCCUUUAUGUUUAGGUAGGAUUAGUAUGUUGAUGUUGGGAUGAUGAUGUAAUGAACUGGUUUUGAAUGUUCAAUCAAUGGAUGUGUUAGUCAAUUGG